Molecule: long non-coding RNA, 1014 nt
Filed under: Canis lupus dingo (dingo)
Lineage: Eukaryota; Metazoa; Chordata; Mammalia; Carnivora; Canidae
Description: lncRNA (ENSCAFG00020017491.1)
Source: RNAcentral
CGGGCGGCUCUUCGGCGCGCACUGUCAAGCGCCUCCUGUGCGCCCCGGGCGCGAGUGGAGGGCGCCGGGCGCGGGCCAGGGACCGGCGCGCGGUGGGCACUUCGCAGGGCGCUUGCCGGCUGGGUCCGCGGUCCCCGGGCGAGCUCCCCCAGCCCCCGCGUGCAGAGGUGCCGAGGGCCGUGCGUACACCUACUGUGCGCCGGCUGGUGUGGAGCGUGCCGAGCCCGACCCCCAGGACCUCCCGCCCUCCCGAGGGAGAGGACACUACACUGGUGACGAGGACCUUGAGCGUCGCUGUGAGAUUUGCGCUUGUCACGGGCAGUGAACUUGCAGUUCAUGUGUCACCCACCAGAAAACCACCAGCUCCCGAGGACCCGGACUCGCUUUGUUCAAAAACAGCCGAAUCCCCGUGGCUGGGUCAGCAUAGGGCACCGAGUAGAAGCUCAGUAAAACGCUUGCUGACUGAAUUACGGCGCAGCCCAAUGCUUUCAUUCAAAUCUUUUUUCCAUUUAAAAAUUGGAUUGUCUUUUUAUUGUUGAAUUGUAAGAGUUCUUUUUGUUUUUUUUGUAAGAGUUCUUUUUAAAAAAGAUUUUAUUCACUUAAGAGAGAGAGAGAGAGAGAGAGAGAGAGAGCACCUGGGGGGUGGGCAGAGGAAGAGGGAGAAGCUGACUCCCCACUGAGCCUGGAGCCCUUAGCAGGGUUGAUCACAGGACCCUGAGAUCAUGACCUGAGCAGAAGGCAGACACUUAACCCACUGAGCCACCAGGCACCCCUGUAAGAAUUCCUUAUGUAUUCUGGACACUGGCCUCUUAUGAGAUACAUGAUUUGCAAGUCUUAUUUCUCAGUUUGUUGUGUUUUCACUUUUUGCAGUUGCCUAUUGAAUGGACAUUUGCAUUGUUUCCUGUCUUUGGAUGUUGUGAACAUUCUAUGUAAUGUCACGGUUGCAUGUGAAGGUAGAUCAAGAGGCCACACUCGAAGUGGGGUCGCUGGAAUAAACGUUAACUGCCUUUGUCA